RNAcentral lists this unclassified non-coding RNA (408 nucleotides) under soil metagenome. Its description in RNAcentral is "partial contains 5.8S ribosomal RNA, internal transcribed spacer 2, and large subunit ribosomal RNA". The stretch from base 1 to 120 matches the Rfam family "5.8S ribosomal RNA", at positions 35 to 154 of the family's 154-position model. The record is from RNAcentral.
GAUGAAGAACGCAGCGAAAUGCGAUAAGUAAUGUGAAUUGCAGAAUUCAGUGAAUCAUCGAAUCUUUGAACGCACCUUGCGCUCCUUGGCAUUCCGAGGAGCAUGCCUGUUUGAGUGUCAUUAAAUUCUCAAGACCUGUCUGCUUUUUUGAUAGGUAUUGGAUUUUGGGGGUUGCAGGCUGUUUCAAAUAAAUAGCCUUGCUCUCCUUGAAUGUAUUAGUGGAGAAAAGCCAUUGAACUCCAUUGGUGUGAUAAAACCUAUCAAUGCCAGGAGCAAUAUCACUACUUCUCUCUGCUGUCUAACUGUGACUGUCUGUAUUAAUUAGUAUGGAUGGGGACAACUUAACCAACUUGACCUCAAAUCAGGUAGGACUACCCGCUGAACUUAAGCAUAUCAAUAAGCGGAGGA